This 482-nucleotide ribosomal RNA is filed under the name uncultured bacterium. RNAcentral describes it as "partial 16S ribosomal RNA". It matches the Rfam family "Bacterial small subunit ribosomal RNA", at positions 30 to 507 of the family's 1533-position model. The record is from RNAcentral.
AUUGAACGCUGGCGGCAUGCCUUACACAUGCAAGUCGAACGGUAACGAGCCUUCGGGUGCCGACGAGUGGCGAACGGGUGAGUAAUACAUCGGAACGUGCCCGAUCGUGGGGGAUAACGAGGCGAAAGCUUUGCUAAUACCGCAUACGAUCUACGGAUGAAAGCAGGGGACCGCAAGGCCUUGCGCGGACGGAGCGGCCGAUGGCAGAUUAGGUAGUUGGUGGGAUAAAAGCUUACCAAGCCGACGAUCUGUAGCUGGUCUGAGAGGAUGAUCAGCCACACUGGGACUGAGACACGGCCCAGACUCCUACGGGAGGCAGCAGUGGGGAAUUUUGGACAAUGGGCGCAAGCCUGAUCCAGCCAUGCCGCGUGCAGGAUGAAGGCCUUCGGGUUGUAAACUGCUUUUGUACGGAACGAAAAGCCUUCUUUUAAUACAGGAGGGUCAUGACGGUACCGUAAGAAUAAGCACCGGCUAACUACGUG